UACGGAGGGAGCUAGCGUUAUUCGGAAUUACUGGGCGUAAAGCGCACGUAGGCGGCUUUGUAAGUAAGAGGUGAGAGCCCAGAGCUCAACUCUGGAAUUGCCUUUUAGACUGCAUCGCUUGAAUCAUGGAGAGGUCAGUGGAAUUCCGAGUGUAGAGGUGAAAUUCGUAGAUAUUCGGAAGAACACCAGUGGCGAAGGCGGCUGACUGGACAUGUAUUGACGCUGAGGAGCGAAAGCGUGGGGAGCGAACAGG
Molecule: ribosomal RNA, 253 nt
Filed under: uncultured bacterium
Lineage: Bacteria
Description: partial 16S ribosomal RNA
Rfam family: Bacterial small subunit ribosomal RNA
Source: RNAcentral